This 604-nucleotide long non-coding RNA is filed under the name Homo sapiens (human). RNAcentral describes it as "LAMTOR5 and SLC16A4 antisense RNA 1". Lineage: Eukaryota; Metazoa; Chordata; Mammalia; Primates; Hominidae. The record is from RNAcentral.
GGUGCAUUGUGGAAGUCAACAAGUAAGUUUUGUUAAAUUUGAGUAAGAAGACCUGUUUGUUUCCUCAAGUUGCUUAUAAUCUAGGUGAGGACACAUCUGAGAGAAUAACUAAUAGUUCAGUGAAGUUAAAAACAACAACAACAACAACAAAAACACAAAACCCUGAGGCUCAGAAGAUAAAUAUUUGCUGAAGAUCACUGUGCUUAUUAGAUGGGUGUUACUGAUUCUUACCUCAGAGAAGAGAAUGUCAUGGAGACAAAAUGACCUGCUUAGAGUUCUGCACCCCCCAGCAUGGAGAGCAGAGCGCAAAGAUUUCUUCCGGACUCCCACAUUCCCCUUGGAAUCCAAGAACUGGUCUACUGUCACAACACUUUAGUACCCUCUUAGAUGGGGAUCUCACUCUGUUGCCCAGGCUGGUCUCAAACUCCUGGCUUCAAGCAAUCCUCCUGCUUCGGCCUCCCAAACUUCUGGGAUUACAGAUAUGAGCCACCACGGCUGGCUGACAGGCACCAAAUUCUAGGAGAGGACUUGAAUAGACUCCCAAGGAGGCAGCAGAAACUGGGGUAAUCACAACGGUCAACAGCAGCAAAGGCAGCACUUUCUG